This 557-nucleotide ribosomal RNA is filed under the name uncultured bacterium. RNAcentral describes it as "bacterial SSU rRNA". It matches the Rfam family "Bacterial small subunit ribosomal RNA", at positions 777 to 1346 of the family's 1533-position model. The record is from RNAcentral.
AAUAGAUACCCAGGUAGUCCACGCCGUAAACGAUGGAUGCUAGCUGUUAUGCGUAUCGACCCGUGUAGUAGCGAAGCUAACGCGUUAAGCAUCCCGCCUGGGGAGUACGAACGCAAGUUUAAAACUCAAAGGAAUUGACGGGGACCCGCACAAGCGGUGGAGCGUGUUCUUUAAUUCGAGGCUAAGCGAAGAACCUUACCAGGGCUUGACACCCUUGGAAUUUCUCCGAAAGGAGAGAGUACUUUAUUGGACCAAGUGACAGGUGCUGCAUGGCCGUCGUCAGCUCGUGUCGUGAGAUGUUUGGUUAAGUCCAUUAACGAGCGCAACCCUUAUGAAUAGUUGUAUUUUUCUAUUCAGACUGCCCCGGUAACGGGGAGGAAGGGGGGGAUGAUGUCAGGUCAGUAUUGCCCUUACGCCCUGGGCUAGAAACGCGCUACAAUGGCCGGUACAAUGCGCUGCCAACCCGCGAGGGGGAGCAAAUCGCAUCAAAGCCGGGUCCCAGUUCGGAUAAGAGGCUGAAACUCGCCUCUUUGAAGCCGGAAUCGCUAGUAAUCGGU